This 478-nucleotide ribosomal RNA is filed under the name uncultured bacterium. Its description in RNAcentral is "partial 16S ribosomal RNA". It matches the Rfam family "Bacterial small subunit ribosomal RNA", at positions 28 to 507 of the family's 1533-position model. The record is from RNAcentral.
GAUGAACGCUAGCGGCAGGCUUAACACAUGCAAGUCGAGGGGUAUUUAUCUUCGGAUAGAGAGACCGGCGCACGGGUGCGUAACGCGUAUGCAAUCUACCUUUUACAGAGAGAUAGCCCAGAGAAAUUUGGAUUAAUACCUCAUAGUAUAUAGACUCGGCAUCGAGAUUAUAUUAAAGUCACAACGGUAAAAGAUGAGCAUGCGUCCCAUUAGCUAGUUGGUAAGGUAACGGCUUACCAAGGCUACGAUGGGUAGGGGUCCUGAGAGGGAGAUCCCCCACACUGGUACUGAGACACGGACCAGACUCCUACGGGAGGCAGCAGUGAGGAAUAUUGGACAAUGGGCGCAAGCCUGAUCCAGCCAUGCCGCGUGCAGGAUGACGGUCCUAUGGAUUGUAAACUGCCUUUAUACGAGAAGAAACACUGCUACGUGUAGCAGCUUGACGGUAUCGUAAGAAUAAGGAUCGGCUAACUCCGUG